Molecule: ribosomal RNA, 427 nt
Filed under: uncultured bacterium
Lineage: Bacteria
Description: bacterial SSU rRNA
Rfam family: Bacterial small subunit ribosomal RNA
Source: RNAcentral
UGGGGAAUAUUGGACAAUGGGCGAAAGCCUGAUCCAGCCAUGCCGCGUGUGUGAAGAAGGUCUUCGGAUUGUAAAGCACUUUAAGUUGGGAGGAAGGGCAGUAAGCUAAUACCUUGCUGUUUUGACGUUACCGACAGAAUAAGCACCGGCUAACUCUGUGCCAGCAGCCGCGGUAAUACAGAGGGUGCAAGCGUUAAUCGGAAUUACUGGGCGUAAAGCGCGCGUAGGUGGUUUGUUAAGUUGGAUGUGAAAGCCCCGGGCUCAACCUGGGAACUGCAUCCAAAACUGGCAAGUUAGAGUACGGUAGAGGGUGGUGGAAUUUCCUGUGUAGCGGUGAAAUGCGUAGAUAGAGGAAGGAACACCAGUGGCGAAGGCGACCACCUGGACUGAUACUGACACUGAGGUGCGAAAGCGUGGGGAGCAAACA